UUCCACGGUUUCCGCGCCGCAGCUAACGCAUUAAGUGCCCCGCCUGGGGAGUACGGCCGCAAGGCUAAAACUCAAAGGAAUUGACGGGGGCCCGCACAAGCGGCGGAGCAUGCGGAUUAAUUCGAUGCAACGCGAAGAACCUUACCAAGGCUUGACAUGUUCCCGAUCGCCGUAGAGAUACGGUUUCCCCUUUGGGGCGGGUUCACAGGUGGUGCAUGGUUGUCGUCAGCUCGUGUCGUGAGAUGUUGGGUUAAGUCCCGCAACGAGCGCAACCCUCGUUCCAUGUUGCCAGCACGUAAUGGUGGGGACUCAUGGGAGACUGCCGGGGUCAACUCGGAGGAAGGUGAGGACGACGUCAAAUCAUCAUGCCCCUUAUGUCUUGGGCUUCACGCAUGCUACAAUGGCCGGUACAAUGGGUUGCGAUACUGUGAGGUGGAGCUAAUCCCAAAAAGCCGGUCUCAGUUCGGAUUGGGGUCUGCAACUCGACCCCAUGAAGUCGGAGUCGCUAGUAAUCGCAGAUCAGCAACGCUGCGGUGAAUACGUUCCCGGGCCUUGUACACACCGCCCGUCAAGUCACGAAAGUUGGUAACACCCGAAGCCGGUGGCCUAACCCUUGUGGGGGGAGCCGUCGAAGGUGGGACCAGCGAUUGGGACUAAGUCGUACAA
RNAcentral lists this ribosomal RNA (666 nucleotides) under Micrococcus sp. RNAcentral describes it as "bacterial SSU rRNA". It matches the Rfam family "Bacterial small subunit ribosomal RNA", at positions 830 to 1494 of the family's 1533-position model. Lineage: Bacteria; Bacillati; Actinomycetota; Actinomycetes; Micrococcales; Micrococcaceae. The record is from RNAcentral.